CUCACUAGAUGGUUGUUGUUAUUUAUGUAUAUAAUAUAUGUAUAGUUUCUAAAUAAAAAUAUUAUAUUUAUUCCAGCUGUCCCAUCCGGCGUUGACAGUGUCAAAGAUUUUUUUUUUUAUGAAUACAUGUGUUAUAAUAUGUAUUAGUAGGUUGAGGUGUAACAGCAUUUUAGGGGCUAUUGUAAUUCCCAUUUCCAGGACUUUAUCAUACAUACAGCCGACAGCCCGAUGACCUACAUUUUUGUGUAUUCUGGUCUACCUUAUGAUGGCCGCGAAGUAACGAUCACGUCACCGUUUAUCAGAUUGCCCAGUUUGAAAGAGUCUCCAACAAUGUCAUCGGAUAGGUACGCCAUAAACCGUGGCAUAGCGCUGGGCCAGCAUCAUUUUGUCCGGAUCAAUAUCUACAAAAAUGACGUCCCAAUUAUUAGAAGCUAAUAAUAUAGUGUCUUUGUCGAAUAGUCUGUACGUAUCAGCUGUAUGAAGUUUCCGCUGUGCCACAAAACGGGUCGACGCCGGUCGCUGAACAUGGGAAGUCCUCAAGUCCACCCAGCAUCGUAUUGAUGAUCAACAAUACAUCUUACAUCUUACAUCUUACAUCUAUCAUUGCAAUCUUAUAAUUAUUCACCUGAAUGCUUGUAAUCCUGAAUGUACAGUUAA
Long non-coding RNA from Metopolophium dirhodum (rose-grain aphid), 657 nucleotides. RefSeq lists it as uncharacterized. NCBI's taxonomy places the organism in Eukaryota, Metazoa, Arthropoda, Insecta, Hemiptera, Aphididae. The transcript is spliced from 3 exons. The record is from RefSeq and is a predicted model, not a curated record.